AGGACGAACGCUGGCGGCGUGGAUUAGGCAUGCAAGUCGAACGAGAAAGGGUCUUCGGACCUGAGUAAAGUGGCGAACGGGUGAGUAACGCGUAGAUAACCUACCUCUAAAUUGGGGAUAAUCCAGGGAAACUUGGCUUAAUACCGAAUGUGAUCGAGAGAUUAAAGAUGGCCUCUGUUUACAAGCUGUCGUUUAGAGAUGGGUCUGCGUCCUAUUAGCUAGUUGGUGAGGUAAUGGCUCACCAAGGCGAUGAUAGGUAGGCGGCCUUAACGGGUGGUCGCCCACACUGGGAUUGAGAUACGGCCCAGACUCCUACGGGAGGCAGCAGUCGAGAAUAGUCUACAAUGGACGAAAGUCUGAUAGUGCGACGCCGCGUGGAUGAAGAAGCUUUUCGGAGUGUAAAAUCCUUUUAUGUGUGAGCAAAGGUACAUUGUUUAAGAGACAUUGUAUAAGAUAUUAGCACAUGAAUAAGCCACGGCUAACUCCGUGCCAGCAGCCGCGGUAAUACGGGGGUGGCGAGCGUUGACCGGAAUCACUAGGCGUAAAGGGCAAGUAGGCGGAAUGGUAAGUCAGUCGUUAAAGACCGGAGCUCAACUUCGGGAAGGCGGUUGAUACUGUCAUUCUAGAAUUAGGUAGGGGAAGACGGAAUUCCUGGUGUAGCGGUGGAAUGCGCAGAUAUCAGGAAGAACACCAAAGGCGAAGGCAGUCUUCUAUGCCAUAAUUGACGCUUAAUUGCGAAGGUGUGGGUAUCAAACAGGAUAAGAUACCCUGGUAGUCCACACAGUAAACGAUAGACACUAGGUGUCGGGGGAGAAGAUCCUUCGGUGCCGUAGCUAACGCGUUAAGUGUCUCGCCUGGGGAGUACGAUCGCAAGGUUGAAACUCAAAGGAAUUGACGGGGCCCCGCACAAGCGGUGGAGCAUGUGGUUUAAUUCGAUGCAACGCGAAGAACCUUACCUGGUCUUGACAUCCACAGAAUCCUUCAGAGAUGAGGGAGUGCCCUUCGGGGAACUGUGAGACAGGUGCUGCAUGGCUGUCGUCAGCUCGUGUCGUGAGAUGUUUGGUUAAGUCCAGCAACGAGCGCAACCCCUAUCUUUAGUUACCAUCAUUAAGUUGGGGACUCUAGAGAGACUGCCAGUGUAAUAAACUGGAGGAAGGUGGGGACGACGUCAAGUCAUCAUGGUCCUUAUGACCAGGGCUACACACGUGCUACAAUGGUCGGUACAGAGGGAUGCGAUACCGUAAGGUGGAGCGAAACCCUUAAAGCCGAUCUCAGUUCGGAUUGAGGUCUGCAACUCGACCUCAUGAAGCUGGAAUCGCUAGUAAUCGCGUGUCAGCAUAACGCGGUGAAUACGUUCCCGGGGCUUGUACACACCGCCCGUCAAGUCAGCCGAGUUGAGUGCACCCGAAGUAGGUGAGCUAACCGCAAGGAAGCAGCUUACGAAGGUGUGCUUAGUGAGGGGGACUAAGUCGUAACAAGGUA
Molecule: ribosomal RNA, 1482 nt
Filed under: metagenome
Description: bacterial SSU rRNA
Rfam family: Bacterial small subunit ribosomal RNA
Source: RNAcentral